Long non-coding RNA from Cygnus olor (mute swan), 3846 nucleotides. RefSeq lists it as uncharacterized. The transcript has 4 exons. The record is from RefSeq and is a predicted model, not a curated record. Lineage: Eukaryota; Metazoa; Chordata; Aves; Anseriformes; Anatidae.
GAGCGGCGGGCGGCGGCGGGGGGCGGGCACCGGGGCGGUGCACCAGAGCCAUACGCUAAAGCCGUGCCCUGAAUCGUGCGUUGAGCUUUGUGCCACACCUUGCACUGGAGCUGCGCGCUGAGCCUGUGCGCUGCAGCACGUAUCGAGUUGUGCCUUGAGCGGUGCUCCGCACACCGUGCACCAAAAUAUGCAUUAGGCUCUGCGCUGAAGCCGUGCGCCAGGCUAUGUAUGCGUUGAGUGUGGACACAUGAGUGUUUUGCGCUGCGUGCCAAAUCGUGCACAGAAAGUGUUGCACAGAGGCCGUGAGCUGGAGCACACACCCAGGCUGUGCCCCACGGUCACACUGCAGCCCGUGCUGGGGGCCGUGCACCCCGCAUUGCCCCCUGCCACCGAGCUGGGUUCCUCGUGGAGUUGCUCACCCCUCUCUCCCAAUGGUACACGGCAGCAAACAAGGCAAAAAAGCUCGUGGAUUGCGUUAAGGUCAGGGAGAUGCCAACCAACGACUGUCAUGGACAAGCUGCCUCAACUGCUAAAAAAUUAAUUGUAUUUCUUGCCAAAUAAAACAAGUUUGGAUAGUGAGAAAAAGAGAGAAAACAACACCCCCACCCUGCACCCCCUUUUCUCUCAGGAUCAGCCCCAAGCAGGGAAUCUGCUCCGGAUUGGGCCCCUCUUGCGCUGCCCCUGGGGCUGCUGUGGAACCACCUGGAACACUCCGGAACGGCCUGGAACCCUCCAGAACCAUCAGAACCUUCCAGAACUGACUGAAACUCUCCAGAACUGACAGGAACACUCCUGAACUGAACCCCCCCCCCGGAACUGACUGAAAUCCUCCAGAACUGACAGGAACAUUCCUGAACUGAACUCCCCCGGAACUGACUGAAACCCUCCAGAACUGACUGGAAACCUCCAGAACUAACUGAAACUCUCCAGAACUGACUAGAACCCUCCAGAACUGACUGAAACUCUCCAGAACUGACUGGAACAUUCCUGAACUGAACCCCCCCGGAACUGACUGGAACCCUCUAGAACCAGCUGUGUCUGGCAGGGUGCAGCCCUGAGGAGAUGCCUCUCAGCCUACACUGGUGCUGUGCCUGAGCACUCAUCGGGGCCCAGCAUCCUCACAAAGUUCCCUCCUAAAAACGAUGUGAGUGUUGUUGUUAUUCCCCAAAAACCCUGCUUUGGAGUGGGGGACCCCCAACUCUCAAGCACUUCCAGUGCAGGGCAGCCAGGCCAUGAGGCAAGUUAACCCAGCAGAUGCAGAGCAUGGGAGCGUCACAGCCAGACCCAGAGCCAAGGUGUUGAUGCCUGCAACCCAGAUACAGCCCACAGCUUGCCCUAAAGUUCAGGAUUCAGCCCCAGGACUGCACCACUGAUGUCCAUGUGGCCGGUAGGGAUUUUAAUUCCUGGGAUUUGCAGCCAUUGCAAGCGGUCGGAUGUGAAACACAACCUGAGGAAGCCAGCCAGCAACGGCAUGCAGCCUGCUCACAAGUGUUUCUUUCCAAGAGUUUUCACAUUCAACCAACACGGGGAAAAACAGCAAAACUGAAACUAUGGCCAACCUGCUGAAAUCACAGCUCCUCUCGACCAUGGAUUCAUUUCAAAUCUGAAAGAUUUGCUGAGCAUUUCCACCUCCCUGCCAUGGUUCCAGGUGCAGCAGUGCAGGGCUCAGCUGAGCAGGAGAAGCAGCCGCGGUGCUGGGGAAGGAGGUUUCUCUCUUCAGCAGAUGUCACUAUUUCUUCUGGUUCAGCCUCAGGCAGAGGCCGGCACGGUGCCAUCACAGCGGGGCUGUGCUGAGCGUGCCGCGGUCCGGCUGAGAUGGAAAACGAGAAGCCUCAGUGCGCUGCGGCCUCACCUCACUGCUGACGAGGCUGGAUUUGCUGCUUAGGGAGGCAUCAACUGACCUGACAGGGAAACGCACCAAAAGUUCAAGUUUCACCUCAAAUCCAUCUCUUGUUGCUGUGGGAUAGCUCGCGAGACUCAGCUAUCCUCAAGUAGGAAAAAUGCAGCUUUUUCCCCACCAAAGUCCCUGGUUCCCAGUGCAGUUUCCCCAUAAUAGUCCUUUGACAAAAUGCCAACGUAGGCAGAUGAAUGCGAAAACCAUUCCUCUGUUUUCCACUGACUGGUUUAAUUUUCACUUCCUGCCCACUUAUUUCCUCCUAGCGAACCGGCCCUUAGUCCUGCAAAGGGGUCAACGAUGCUGGCCAGCAUUGCCUCCGUGCAGCACACAGGGACAUGCCGUGGGGGACGAGGAUUCAGGACAGCUCGAGGGGCAGCAGUGUAUGCAGCAGUUACACUUUUUCUCUCCAAUUUACAAAAAGUAGGCAUUUUGGAGGAUACUCAGACUGCUUGAUUUUAGCAUAAUCCCAGAACACCACAUACCGCUGCUUUCAACUUAUGGACUGUCACCCCUUUGUUUAACUCAGUCUUUCCUUAAAAUAGAGAGAUUUAAAUUGUUCUGAGGAAGGCUCUGAUCCAGAAUUUGCUUUUGUCACCCACUGUGAUUACAAGACCCAGAAAUGUCAAGACUAAUCUCAGUUUACAUUUCUUUUCAAUACCAGGAUUUUAGCUGUUGCGGAGGGGUCCUGUUCCUCACAGAGGCACCAGCAGUGCCUUGUCCCUGGUGGGAAUCAUGUUCUCCCCAGCUGAAGCCUGUUAAUCAGCCCUAAUUGACCGAGUCUCAUCUGCUGGGUAUGGGUGGCCCCAGGGGGGCUGUACUUUCUUCUCCUCACUUACAAAUAGAGGGUGAGAUAGAAGCUUAAUGGCUGUUUUUUUUUUCAUUUUUCUUUUUUUUUUUUUUUUUUUUUAACGUUUAAGGAGGGAUUUUUGAUGUGAACUUUUUACUUUUUGUAUGAUUGCCUUGAGACUUUGCCUGUAGUGCUUAUUUAUUUAUUUAUAUAUAAAGUUUAGGGUCUUUUUUUUUUUUUCCUUGCUCUGAGUGGAUCCUUGUUGACUCUUCUUCAGAGUAGCUAUGCAUGGUAGGAAACCUAAAAAGCUAUUAUGGGAAUUGUUCUGGGCUCUUAGUAGUGAUUCUUUGUGGCAGAAGAAGAUCUUGUGAAAAGAUGGAUAGGUGCAAAAUGCUCUUAUUUGAGCUGAAAUAGCAACAGAAGGGUCACUCAGCUGAGUGGUGGCAGAACUCAGCUUUGGAGAUGACCGGUCGGCUCAGGGGCACCGUGGGUUGCAGUAAGGAGGGCUGCAGGAUUGUGAGCCUGGGUGCUGCCAAGAAGGAAGAGCAUGGGAGCAUGGCACCAGGAGCAGAGCAGGACCCAGCCGUCAUCAGCUGAGCAACACAUGUGGCCAUGGACGAGCUGCAGGGGAGGCUGACGGCUCUCCUAUGGAGGACUGCCCUUGCCCCAAGGGACACAUGCAGGGGUUGGCUGGAGAGAUGCAGCACUGAAUUCGCCAACACAGCAUCCUGAGUGUGUGGGCUCUCAGAACAGAUAAGAGUCCCAGUCCUCCCUUUGACUUCCUUGUAGAAGAAAGUUACAACAAUGGUUUCACUUGUCUCGAGAGCAAGUCUGUCAUGGCACAGCACACAGCUUCCUUGACCUUCGCUCCUGAGCUCUUCAGGGAAAAUGCUGACCAAAGAGCAAAGAAGUCCCGUGAAAACCAGCACAGGGAAAGAAGGGGAGAAAAUUGACAGAGUACCAGAGUCGCAGUGUGGAUGUGCUUCUGUGGUGGGUGGAAGCUGGCAGAGCCUGGAAUGGAAGUGCAGGGCCCCUGUUACGAGGUUUGUUCUGAUCUGCUCUGAUCGCUAGAGACCUCUGUACACUGUGUUUUCCAGAGUCAUGAUUAAAGCCCAGUACCUGGGGUUCCCUGAUGGCCAUGCGGACUGCGAGGCACGAGCAG